Molecule: microRNA, 21 nt
Filed under: Amborella trichopoda
Lineage: Eukaryota; Viridiplantae; Streptophyta; Magnoliopsida; Amborellales; Amborellaceae
Description: atr-miR477
Gene: atr-miR477
Source: miRBase by way of RNAcentral
AGAGGCCUUAGGGGAGAGUGG